ACCGCGCGUGGGGCUGCGGGCGGGAAAGGUGUGACCUGCCGGGAGCCCAGCUAGGAGGAGGCGCCCACUGUCGCAGGUCACUGGUGCGGCGCGGAGCCAAGGUUGAGUCGCUUGCGCCUCAGCAGCCGUAUUUCUUUUGGGGAGGAGGAGUCUUCGGGGGACAGUCUAAUUCCAGUCCGGGCUAGCUUGGAAUUCACAGAGUAUGGGGAACAUGGGUCGACCCUCCUGCCUCUGCUCCCUCUCAAUUAAAGGAAACAAACAAGCAAACACCUCAAAGCAGACACCAGAGGAAUUCAGGAUCCUCGCCUCUGCCACAGAGAGCACCUGUGAGUGUCCCUCCAGUUAGCAGUAGACUGAAUAUCUCGGAUGCCAAAACACCCACUGGGGUCAUUAUAGAAAGUACAGAUUCCCCAGGACUCCCUGGCUUCCAAACUUGGCUUGCCUCCAAGUUAAGUCAAAGAAAGGUGACUGGAGAGGUGACCUGGAACAGCCUGUCACGCCUGACAGUGCCUUCUCUGAAUAGAAAAUAUUGUUCUAGAAAUCACAACUGAAGCCGCAUUGAUCCCAAGUGGGCGGGCAUCUCAAUCACUUACAGAAGGAACCUGUGGGAGGCUGGUCUGGAGCUACUUUGUAUUCAAAUGCUAAACUCUGUGGCCCAAGACACAAGACAGGAUGGACCAGGAGCACAAGCUGAGUGAAAGAGCCCCAGGGGACAGGCUGGUGGAGCAAGAAUAACCCAGGAAGACACAAACACGGAGUACUUGGGGAGCUCCCCUGGGAAGCAGCCAUUCUAGCACUUAGAGCAUUAGACUAGGGGUAAUCCCCCAGUAAUCACACAAAAGCUAAAUAAAUAAAUCAUAAUCUG
Mus musculus (house mouse) is the source of this 865-nucleotide long non-coding RNA. RefSeq annotates it as predicted gene, 36533. The record is from RefSeq and is a predicted model, not a curated record. The transcript is spliced from 2 exons. NCBI's taxonomy places the organism in Eukaryota, Metazoa, Chordata, Mammalia, Rodentia, Muridae.